AUUGAACGCUGGCGGCAUGCUUUACGCAUGCAAGUCGAACGGUAACAGGCCUUCGGGUGCUGACGAGUGGCGAACGGGUGGGUAAUGCAUCGGAACGUACCCAGAGGUGGGGGAUAACGCAGCGAAAGCUGUGCUAAUACCGCAUGUGAUCUGAGGAUGAAAUCGGGGGACCGAGCAGCAAUGUUUGGCCUCGCGCCUUUGGAGCGGCCGAUGUCGGAUUAGCUAGUUGGUGGGGUAAAGGCCUACCAAGGCGCCGAUCCGUAGCUGGUGUGAGAGGACGGUAGGCCGCACUGGGACUGAGACACGGCCCAGACUCCUACGGGAGGCAGCAGUGGGGAAUUUGGGACAAUGGGCGCAAGCCUGGUCCAGCAAUGCCGCGUGCGGGAAGAAGGCCUUCGGGUUGUGAACAGCUUUUGGCAGGAACGAAACGGUGCCGGCUAAUACCGGGCGCUAAUGACGGUACCUGCAGAAUAAGCACCGGCUAACUACGUG
This 492-nucleotide ribosomal RNA is filed under the name uncultured bacterium. Its description in RNAcentral is "partial 16S ribosomal RNA". It matches the Rfam family "Bacterial small subunit ribosomal RNA", at positions 28 to 507 of the family's 1533-position model. The record is from RNAcentral.